GACGUAGGGGGCAAGCGUUGUUCGGAAUUAUUGGGCGUAAAGCGCUCGUAGGCGGGACAGGAAGUUCGUGUUGAAAGACCUCGGCUCAACUGAGGGACCGGCUCGAAUACUCUUGUUCUUGAGGCAAUCAGAGGGUGAUGGAAUUCCCGGUGUAGCGGUGAAUGCGUAGAUAUCGGGAGGAACACCGGGUGGCGAAGGCGGGUCUCUGGGCCGAUACGUGACGCUGAGGAGCGAAAGCGUGGGGAGCGAACAGG
Molecule: ribosomal RNA, 254 nt
Filed under: uncultured bacterium
Lineage: Bacteria
Description: partial 16S ribosomal RNA
Rfam family: Bacterial small subunit ribosomal RNA
Source: RNAcentral